AGUGAACGCUGGCGGCAGGCCUAAUACAUGCAAGUCGAACGGCAGCACAGCAGAGCUUGCUCUGUGGGUGGCGAGUGGCGGACGGGUGAGGAAUACAUGGGAAUCUGCCCAGUCGUGGGGGAUAACGUAUGGAAACGUACGCUAAUACCGCAUGCGCCCUACGGGGGAAAGUCGGGGACCGCAAGGCCUGACGCGAUUGGAUGAGCCCAUGUUCGAUUAGCUAGUUGGCGGGGUAAAGGCCCACCAAGGCGACGAUCGAUAGCUGGUCUGAGAGGAUGAUCAGCCACACUGGAACUGAGACACGGUCCAGACUCCUACGGGAGGCAGCAGUAGGGAAUAUUGGACAAUGGGGGCGAACCCUCGAUCCAGCCAUGCCGCGUGAGUGAAGAAGGCCCUCGGGUUGUAAAGCUCUUUUGUCCGGAAAGAAAAGCAUCUGGUUAAUACCCGGGUGUUCUGACGGUACCGGAAGAAUAAGCACCGGCUAACUUCGUGCC
This 494-nucleotide ribosomal RNA is filed under the name uncultured bacterium. Its description in RNAcentral is "bacterial SSU rRNA". It matches the Rfam family "Bacterial small subunit ribosomal RNA", at positions 29 to 509 of the family's 1533-position model. The record is from RNAcentral.